UACGAAGGGGGCUAGCGUUGCUCGGAAUCACUGGGCGUAAAGCGCACGUAGGCGGCUUGUUAAGUCAGGGGUGAAAUCCUGGAGCUCAACUCCAGAACUGCCUUUGAUACUGGCGAGCUUGAGUCCGGGAGAGGUGAGUGGAACUGCGAGUGUAGAGGUGAAAUUCGUAGAUAUUCGCAAGAACACCAGUGGCGAAGGCGGCUCACUGGCCUGGUACUGACGCUGAGGUGCGAAAGCGUGGGGAGCAAACAGG
Molecule: ribosomal RNA, 253 nt
Filed under: uncultured bacterium
Lineage: Bacteria
Description: partial 16S ribosomal RNA
Rfam family: Bacterial small subunit ribosomal RNA
Source: RNAcentral